This 1231-nucleotide ribosomal RNA is filed under the name uncultured bacterium. RNAcentral's name for it is "bacterial SSU rRNA". It matches the Rfam family "Bacterial small subunit ribosomal RNA", at positions 102 to 1315 of the family's 1533-position model. The record is from RNAcentral.
ACGGGUGAGUAACACGUGGGUAACCUACCCCUCAGUGGGGGAUAACCGGGGGAAACUCCGGCUAAUACCCCAUAUUAUCCGGUGACGACAGUUGCUGGAUGAAAGGAGUGUUUGCUUCGCUGAGGGAUGGGCCCGCGGCCCAUCAGGUAGUUGGUGAGGUAAUGGCUCACCAAGCCUACGACGGGUAGCCGACCUGAGAGGGUGACCGGCCACAAGGGCACUGAGACACGGGCCCUACUCCUACGGGAGGCAGCAGUGGGGAAUUUUGGACAAUGGGCGAAAGCCUGAUCCAGCGACGCCGCGUGAGGGACGAAGCCCUUCGGGGUGUAAACCUCUGUUGUGAGGGACGAAUAAGAUCUGGAGGAAAUGCCAGAUCGAUGACGGUACCUCACGAGAAAGCCCCGGCUAACUACGUGCCAGCAGCCGCGGUAAUACGUAGGGGGCGAGCGUUACCCGGAUUCACUGGGCGUAAAGGGGGCGCAGGCGAUCCAGUAUGUCGGGUGUGAAAUCCCACAGCUCAACUGUGGAAUUGCGCCCGAAACUACUGGGUUUGGGGCUGGUAGAGGGAGACGGAACUGCUGGUGUAGGGGUGAAAUCCGUAGAUAUCAGCAGGAACGCCGGUGGGGAAGCCGGUCUCCUGGGCCAAGCCCGACGCUGAGGCCCGAAAGCUAGGGGAGCAAACCGGAUUAGAUACCCGGGUAGUCCUAGCCGUAAACGAUGCCCACUAGGUGUGGGGGAGUCAUUCCUCCGUGCUGUAGCUAACGCGUUAAGUGGGCCGCCUGGGGAGUACGCCCGCAAGGGUGAAACUCAAAGGAAUUGGCGGGACCCCGCACAAGCGGUGGAGCGUGUGGUUUAAUUGGAUGCUAAGCCAAGAACCUUACCAGGGCUUGACAUGCAGGUGGUACCAACCCGAAAGGGAAGGGACCCUUUCCUUUUGGAAAGGGAGCCUGCACAGGUGGUGCACGGCCGUCGUCAGCUCGUGCCGUGAGGUGUUGGGUUAAGUCCCGCAACGAGCGCAACCCCUGCCCUUAGUUGCCAGCGGUUCGGCCGGGCACUCUAAGGGGACCGCCGGCGACGAGCCGGAGGAAGGAGGGGACGACGUCAGGUACUCGUGCCCUUUAUGCCCUGGGCUACACACGCGCUACAAUGGGUGGUACAGUGGGUCGCGACCUCGCGAGAGGGAGCCAAUCCCCAAAACCAUCCUCAGUUCAGAUCGCAGGCUGCAACCCGC